Molecule: long non-coding RNA, 4054 nt
Organism: Astatotilapia calliptera (eastern happy)
Lineage: Eukaryota; Metazoa; Chordata; Actinopteri; Cichliformes; Cichlidae
Source: Ensembl
CUCACAUGCCCAUCUCAUGCUUUGUGUUAGCAUUGAUCACUGUCAAAGAGCACAUGAUGACGGACCCAGGGAAUGGGUUUCGCUAAAAGUAUUGUGGCACUAAUAAUAAAUAAAUGUAAAGUGCAAGGUUGGGGAUUUCUAAGACUGUUAGCUCAUAGCAGACUUUACGGACUGUGUUGGGCAAAAUAAUUGUUGUAAAUUUUGAACCGGGGCCAAAUGUUUUACAUGGCGAUUACGUGCCAUGUGGUUGUCAGGUGUGAAAAUAUUCCAGUUUUCCUUCUGCCAUCUCACCGAGACACAUCUGAGACGGUUGAGCUCAGCUUGUCUACUUUAAGUGCUAAUCAAGCCACUCGAAAUGUAAAACUUACAGAAUAAGUAAUAACUAAUGCUGCUGUAGGGGAAAGGAAAUGUUGCGAGUUCUCUUGUCCAGACUACAGCUGUAUGAUAUCAUGGCAUAGAUACACAGACCUUUUGUAUUAGCUCAGUUUGACCCCGCCCCCACCAGGUUACAGGUCCCAGACUCGCCACACUCAGUCAGAAGUCGAGGUGACAUAAAUGUGAAAGCACAAGUAAUCAGGGUGUUGAAUACUUACAGGUUUGCACAUUUCACUAAAAUCAGAGCUUGUUCCAAGAAAUGCAACUACUGAGGUGGACGGUAUGGCUGCUAAGGAAAAUUUUUAGUAAUCAGUUAUUACAGGGACCAGUGCAGCCAUCGCAAACACUCUCGCACCCACAUUGCUUAGACUUUUGAGACUUAACGAGCAGAAUUUUCCAAAGAUGCAGAACUCCGAUCAUGUUGUGUAAAUCUGAAUGAGAAACAUUUACACAGCCGUAAGGACAACAUGGCACCACAUGUCUUAGACUACAACACCAGGUCACUGUAUUGAUUAUGUAAGCCUACAAUAUAUAUUCCAGUGUCAUGCAGGAUCAAAACUUUGCUUUUUCAAACACUGAGCAGAUGAAAUGUUAUGUAACUGCUACAAGUUGACAAAGUAACUGCACAGCAUACUGCGCAACAGUGGUCAGUGUUUCCUUUGUUUCUUAGGUUUUUGUUGUGUGUGUAUAUACAGUACCUGUGCUUAAUAUUGUGUGUUUUUAAGGGACCUUGUGCAAGAUGUGUUGUAGAGAUAGUCGUGAAACUAGAGAGUGAACACUGGUGAUUUUUUUGAUUUUUUUAAAUUUUAUUUUAUUUUUCUUCUUCUUUAAUAGUGCUUUACUGCCUAAUUUAGAAAACAUUUGACCACGCUGUUAGUUUAGCAUCUGGACUAGUUUUCACUCAAGCACAUCAAAGCAGGACAGAGAUGGGGGUUUUUCAUGCUACUGAUGAAAGUUUGAUGAAGAGAUCAACAUCUUUUUUUUUUCCUGUAGUUAAUGUGAUGCCACAGCUUCCAGUUAGUUACUUUAGCUUAGCUUUAAAAGGGAGAAACUCUGUCUGACUUUGUCCAAAGGUAAUCUUAGUCUGCCAUUAUGAAACGUAUAUAAUAAAAAAAGAUGGACCAAGUCUACCCGUUGGUUUUAAAGCCCUCUUCUGAAGCCUUGAUUUUAACAUUUUAUAAUUUUUGUCUUAUUGGUGCAUUUAAAACCUUCAAAUUGCACCACAGACAUAAUUAAAAGGUCCACGGCUGUGAACUAUGAAACAACUUCAGCGUAGCCAGUCUUUGCAUUAGUGGGCUUCACAAAACCUAAAACCUGCGUCAGAGGUGACGAGUAUCACAAUGAUGGUUAUCAACUUUCAGUGUUACCGCGAGCUCUCUGCUUCAGGUUCUGCUCAUGCAAAAAGGAGCUUUUCACGUGUCAUUUGACUUUUCUUCCACUCAAAACGGAUCAACUGAGUCACAUCUACUCCAGUCACAUUAUGAGAGGAGUGGGCACAUCUCUAAAGAUUAUUAUUUUAAAAAAUGACAGUAAAUUGCUAAACCAGAGCUGCGAAGAAAAUGACAGUAAUAAUCCAAAAGUUGUUAAUCUUGUGAAUUCAUGAUCAUCACAAGGGUACCAAGUGGCAAAAUGAAUAAACUCAACUUGUAUUUUUUUUUUUAUUGCAGUUUCAGUGCUGCUGUUUAUUUCUCAUAUGACAGCUGCACAUUCAAACUAGUUUAAAAAUGACUUACAAUGAUUGAGCAGGUUGUUUAUAUAAAGCAUGACUCCCAACAGAAAAUCUAGAUCAAACAUUGAAGCAUGUCAUAAAUAAAAUAACAAUUUUACCUUGAAACUUUAAACGUAUAAUUAAGGUUAGGGUUCUAUUUUCACCUGAAGUUACCACAGUGAUCUAGCCAGGUGAAAGGAGAGCCUCCUUUAUGAUUCUGAAAACUGAUUUUUUUUUUUUUUUUUUUUUGCUUAAAAUGGCUGCGAAACUAUAACCUUCAUAGCACACCCCUCAUUUGAGCAACGAGCAUACAGCUAGCAGCUACAAGCGCCCCUGUCAGCAUUGAUCUGUCAUUCAAGCUGCCACUUUCAUAAAUAUCAUUUUAAUGGAAUUUAAACAGGAAAAUUACUGAAGUAAUUUCUGUACCAGGCUGUGAACAUGAUUAUUUCUGCCUUGAAGUUGGGAGUUUUGACAUGGGGAUCAACUUAUCUUUGGGUCCAGCCUCAAGUAGCCAUUAGACAAAUUGUUCUUUAGGUGUCAGCCUAAAAAGUUCCCUUAAAGUAUCAAUUUUUAACACUUUGGCUUUAGACUAUUUAUCAAAAGCAGAUGCAGUCUUUUCUGCCGUUGGCUUUGCAUAUGCUGGUAUGAGCAGACAAGCUGGUUCCUCCUUUUUUUCAGACUUUGUGCUAAGCUGGGGUAUCAGGCUUCUAGCUGUAGUGCAUAAAUACGAGCGCGAUAUCAAUCUUAUCUAACUCUCAGCAAGAAAACAAAUAUUCUUUUCCAAAACUAUUGCAAGCUGAGACCAAGCAAACAAACCAGAGUAUUGCAUUUGCCAACAGAUGGAUAACCAAAAUGAAACUGAUUCCAGAAGGCUUGUGUUUUUCCAUUUCUGCUAACACAGAUUUUUCUAAACUAUAUGAUAUCUUGGUAGCCUGCUUUGAUUUGUUUGGUGGAUAACUUCACAGCAUAAAAUGCCUUUGGAUAUCACAUUGCUCUGCCUUUAGCCACGUGCCACAUUGUACACUACCCAGCAGUGACCUCACCAAUAGAAACAUGGUGAAUGGCGUGAUUGUAGCCCUCAGUGGGCAUCUUUAACUCCACAACGCAACACGGGUCAACAGUAGAUUUACAAAUUCACCUAAGCCACCAUUAACUUAACCUGCUAACUAGACUGGGAGCUGCUCAAAAUCUUGUACCAUUCUGCAGCCUUUGCUCAUCUAAGAAAAAAAAUGGUGCUGUACACAUUGGAAGCAUCACUUCCUCUGGUGAGGUCACCUAUUUAACAAUACACCACCUGAUCUCGUUUAGAAAUGCUGAAGUUAAAAUGCAGUUGGACCUUGCCAAUUAAUAAGCUUAGAUGAAAUAUAUACUGUGUGAUAGCUUUGCAUAUUUAUCAAUGAUGGGCCUUUUCCAUAAAAGGCAAACAGUAGUACAACAGUUUUGAGUAGCUCCUUAUUAAUGCAACAUACUGUACUGGAUAUGAAUGUAGCCAACUAUAUAUUUGUAGAACACCUACUGCAGUAUAUUUUCCUAAAAUGGCUUAAGUAGGCAAUCCAUUGCAACAUCUUUUUUAGGAUUUUAUUUCUUCAGUCAUAAAUGCAAAGAAACGACAUCAUACAGUUAAUAAACCAUUUGUGCUGCAUGGUAUAGUACAUGAACAAGAUGCAAGCACAGCUCCAGAUCCUCCAUAUCAGCUCAGCCAUGAGACGGCGACAGCCUCGCCUCAGCGUAUCGAACAUCAUAAGCUUAGUUGACUGAAUAACGAUUAGACAAAUGUGGUCUUGCCUGCAUGAUUUCUUUUUUAUUAUUAUUAUUAUUUGUUGUGUACAAAUAACAUUGUGAACUGUAUUUUUUUGUAUCAUUGAGAUUGUGACUGUUGUUUUUAUUAUAUUGUACAUAAAAGGCACUUUAUUUUAAUUUUUUUUAAAUAAAUGAAUAAAUACAUGUUUUGACACAUGCAUGUGGAAGUCC